This 3361-nucleotide long non-coding RNA is filed under the name Mus caroli (Ryukyu mouse). RNAcentral's name for it is "lncRNA (MGP_CAROLIEiJ_G0005262.1)". Lineage: Eukaryota; Metazoa; Chordata; Mammalia; Rodentia; Muridae. The record is from RNAcentral.
AAAAUACAUUUACUUAUUUAUAGGUGCAUCUGCCCUUGGGCAUGGGUGUGCGCCCUUGCCAUAGGGCACAUGAAGAGGGUCAGAGAGGACAAAUGACAAGAGUUGGUUCUCUCUUGAGUGUGGGACCUAAGGAACACACUGGGUCCUUAGGUUUGUUGUCCAGUGCCUACACCCUUUGGGCCAGCUCAAAACCUUGGUUUGUUGUUCUUCCUUGUUUGUUUGUUUUGUGUUUUAAGAAUAGAGCUCACACCACACAAGACUACCAAUCCCACAUCUAUAUAUGCAAUUACAUCAUUUAAACUCUCAGACAUUUAUAAAAGACCCCUUACCAGGUUCUAAUAUGAUCUUUACAUUACUUAGUCUCUGACUAUCAAAGGGAUUACAUUUCACCUGCUCCUUAUCCCUACCAUAUUCAAUGGUCCAGAAUCAGACAUGUAUAAUCAUUGUAUAAUCACUGGUAACAAUCCUAGCAAAGAAAUGAUAUUCCACUGUGAAGUUGCGGCCAAGGGUAGCCCAAUGUUUCCUUAGUUCUGGCUUCUACAUAACAGAAGAACGCUCUCCAGGUGACUUAGAAAUAAACUGUUUAGUAUCCAAGCUACAUCCUUGAUGUUCAGAUCGCUGGCAAGUUGAGAGCGCUGGCAAUCAAAACUAUGUUGUGUUACAUAAUUACUAUGACAAACUUCCCAAUGCUUAAUAUUAAAGAAUGGAAGAAUGUGAUCCCUCCACCUCUUCUACACCUCUAGAGUGUGUUCAACGUGGCAAUUAUCUUCGUUCAAGCAGCAGCGUUUAAAUUGCAUUGAAACUCAAUUAUACCCAUGACUUUUUAAAACAUACACUUCAAAAGGCAGGUUUCACCACACUCAAAUCACUGAGCAAAAUCUCUUUCCCAGCUUAUAAAAAAGGAGAUUUUUAUCCCCCUCCCACAAGACAUCUUCAAAUACAAAACUGACUUCCCUGGAGCUUUGGAUUCAGUUUUCUUUUCUUUCUUUUUUUUCUUUUUGGCCUGGUGAAUGCAGAAGGAAGGCUGAGCAAUGUUGAAAGAAAAAGAAGGUGCUAUCAUGCCAGGGAGUUGUCAUCUCUGAGAGACAAGGAUGGAUGAGAUUAUGAAGUCAUUUGGGGGUGGGGGUGGGGCAGUGUUUAAGGAACAAUGUUUAAGAUCCCAAGCCUACACCUCAGCUUCGCAAGAGUGGCUAACACUGUAGGUUCCAAGCCCCUGAACCCAUCCUAAAAUGAUUUCUGGGUCAACUAAUGAUUUCUGGGUCAACUCUGGUGGCUGAGGUUGGAACAUAGCUUCCACACAGCAGGGCAACGUCCUCUCUCUUCCCUCCCCCCACCUCCACCCCUGCUUCCCAGCAUGACUUGUUUGCUCUUCAUUUAUGGAAUUCAUAUGAUGCCAUUUAUACUGCUCUGCCUGAAGACGCAUUGCCAUGCGUGUGAAUAAUUCAGCCCCUCCAUUCUUCAGCCACUUCCCUCUGUGACUGGGAAGCCAAAGGAACACAAACUGGAGAACCGACACCACGCACUAAUCUCAGUUGCCAUGGCAGCAGCCUUUGAGAUCCUGAAAUGUUCCGAUCGCCAGCUAAACAAAAUUGUUGAAUGUGAACAUUUGGCUGGAAGAUUAAAAGGCUAAGGGGAAUGCAAAAGGCCAGAACCUCCCACAUUCCCAGCAGCCAGUGGAUCCAAUCAAAUAGCUCUGACUCCUUAACCACAGCAUUGUGAGCACUGGAUUAGGGCAAUUCAUCCAGAUAGUUAAAGCAGAUUAAAGCUGCAAUUUGAAGACUAUUGGCAACAAAAGUAAAUGCCCCACUGUACUAAGUAAUAAGAAGAUUUCAAACUGUCUUUUAGUAGAAAUUAUGUGAAACCACACAUUUAAAGUAAGAAGCCAAGCCUGAGAUUUUUUUAAAGUUGAUUUAAAUUCAUCAAUGUAAAAGGCUAAGAGGAUUUGGAUUCCAAAAGCAAUCAGUAGCCUUUUGCAAGUUUGACGGUAUUGUCUAUGCCUCUCUCUGCCUCCAUCAGUGUUUACAAUCAGAACUUUAUUCCUAUGUCCGUUCCAACUUUAAUUCUGAGCACCCAAGUUGAAAAUAAAGGGAAUCAGAGAACUGUGAGUUAUUUCAUGCAGGAGUAAUUCCCAGGAGACUUCUUAGCAUCAUUCCAGCCAGAAAGGGGGGUGGGGUGGGGGAUCACAUCACAAUAAUAAGCAUAGUUAGAAGAAAUCACGUUACUACAACCACUUGAUAGAAACAUCUUCAUGCUACAACUUGUGGAAUGAGUCUAAAGAUUAAUUUCACAGAAACACCACUCUCACCUCCCAACCAACGAGCCUGGAGGACACAUAGCCGCCAGUUCCCAGACAUUACCCCAAAGCAACUGCAUCCCAGACAAGCAAAACCCAGGCCUCCAUGCCUAAGCAAGGUAACACUGGAGCAGGGGGUUUCCAGCACAGUGUCUAACCACAGACUUUAAGACAAUGAACAACAAGAGUGCAAGGGUCCAAAUGGCCCACGUCGGGCAUUGUUAAGCCACAGUUGGCUUCCCUGCUGCCCCAAUGCCCCCCUUGGUCGGAUCCUCACAUUUCAGGAACACAAGCCAAAUGUGCUUUCCGAUUCUUACUUACUAAUCUCGCAGCUGCCCAGGCAAGCUAAAAGACCGAAGUGAUAACAGUCUCACGUCUCUAGCUGCAGUGGGUGAGAGAGCAAAGUAGAGAGCGUCUCCACAGUCACCAAAAACUGGCACAGUUUGACUGCAUAGUUACAAAGUCAGUGAUCAAUACUCCCAGCCUGGAGUACAUCCUUUGACGGAACUAUUUGGGGGAAAGUAACAGAACAAUGAGUGUCAAUAACACUACACACUCCCUUUCCACAGAGGGAACUAGAACCCUGUUCCUAAGGACACACGGUUUACAAUAACACAGACGACAAUUCUCUUUAGGGAAGAAACCAGGACGAAACUCAAGCUAGUGCCGCAGCAGGUUUUCUGGUCAAAGCACACACGGACAAUUUGCUGGCUGCCAAGUCGCUCUUACAAGAAGGCAAAAGGCACUUGGAACAUUCAGAGCUUCCCACCCUAUGACCUUUCAAACGCUGGCACCACCAGCAGAAGCAAGCAGCAGAAGCAAGAGCCAAAAUCUGCACUCGGGAUAGCAUCCAUAAAAGAUGAACGUCAUAGAAAUCUCACGGAGAACCCGAAAGCACUAGGAAGUGUAAGACACCCGGAGGCACAUCCCACAACCCCAAACAAAUGCACACAGAGUGGGGGGUACACAAGAAGGCGAUCGUAUCCUACCUUCUCAGUUUUCAGUUUCUUGAUUCGCCUGUGGCUCUCCUCCUCCUCCUCUUCCUUCUUGACCAGCAUAGAGUUUCCC